Manis pentadactyla (Chinese pangolin) is the source of this 103-nucleotide small nuclear RNA. Lineage: Eukaryota; Metazoa; Chordata; Mammalia; Pholidota; Manidae. The record is from RefSeq and is a predicted model, not a curated record.
UCACUUUGCCAGUACAUACACUAAAACUGGAAUCAUACAGAGAAGAUUAAUAUGAUCCUUGAGCAAAGAUGACAUGCAAAUUCAUGAAGUAUUCCACUUUUUU